Molecule: ribosomal RNA, 600 nt
Filed under: uncultured archaeon
Lineage: Archaea
Description: bacterial SSU rRNA
Rfam family: Archaeal small subunit ribosomal RNA
Source: RNAcentral
GUAUGACCCACCAAACCUGUACCGUACGGGCCUUGAGAGAGGUGGCCGGACGAUGACACUGAGAGAAGGGUCCAGGUCCUACGGGGCGCAGCAGGCGCGAAACCUUCGCUAUGCGCGAAAGCGUGACGAGGUUAAUCCGAGUGACUCCCGCUGAGGGGUCUUUUGUCAGCUGUAAAUAGGCAGGCGAAUAAGGGGAGGGCAAGCCUGGUGUCAGCCGCCGCGGUAAUACCAGCUCCUCGAGUGGUCGGGGCGAUUAUUGGGCCUAAAGCAUCCGUAGCCAGAUUCCGUAGGUCCUCUGUUAAAUCCAACCGCUUAACGGUUGACCUGCAGAGGAUACCGCGGGACUAGGAGGCGGGAGAGGCGGACGGUACUCCGCGUGUAGGGGUAAAAUCCUUUGAUCCGCGGAAGACCACCAGUGGCGAAGGCGGUCCGCCAGAACGCGCUCGACGGUGAGGGAUGAAAGCUGGGGGAGCGAACCGGAUUAGAUACCCGGGUAGUCCCAGCCGUAAACGGUGCUAGCUAGAUGAUUCAUUCGCAAGUCGCGAAUGAAGUGUCGCAGGGAAGCCGUUAAGCUAGCCGCCUGGGUGUGCGGUCGCAAGA